CGAUGACAUUACCUAUAGUUGUAGGCUUGUGCCUGCGUAUCUGCUUACCCAUGAUCUGUUUGAGUACCUUCGUUUCCUCGGCGGGUCCGCCCGCCGAUUGGACACAUUUAAACCCUUUGUAGUUGCAAUCAGCGUCUGAAAAACUUUAAUAGUUACAACUUUCAACAACGGAUCUCUUGGUUCUGGCAUCGAUGAAGAACGCAGCGAAAUGCGAUAAGUAGUGUGAAUUGCAGAAUUCAGUGAAUCAUCGAAUCUUUGAACGCACAUUGCGCCCCUUGGUAUUCCAUGGGGCAUGCCUGUUCGAGCGUCAUUUGUACCUUCAAGCUUUGCUUGGUGUUGGGUGUUUGUCUCGCCUCUGCGCGCAGACUCGCCUCAAAACAAUUGGCAGCCGGCGUAUUGAUUUCGGAGCGCAGUACAUCUCGCGCUUUGCACUCAUAACGACGACGUCCAAAAAGUACAUUUUUUACACUCUUGACCUCGGAUCAGGUAGGGAUACCCGCUGAACUUAAGCAUAUCAAUAAGCGGAGGAAAAGCAACCAACAC
This 543-nucleotide ribosomal RNA is filed under the name Allophoma tropica. RNAcentral's name for it is "eukaryotic LSU rRNA". The stretch from base 157 to 310 matches the Rfam family "5.8S ribosomal RNA". The record is from RNAcentral. Lineage: Eukaryota; Fungi; Ascomycota; Dothideomycetes; Pleosporales; Didymellaceae.